RNAcentral lists this ribosomal RNA (1510 nucleotides) under Salmonella enterica. RNAcentral describes it as "partial 23S ribosomal RNA". It matches the Rfam family "Bacterial large subunit ribosomal RNA", at positions 437 to 1762 of the family's 2925-position model. The record is from RNAcentral. Lineage: Bacteria; Pseudomonadati; Pseudomonadota; Gammaproteobacteria; Enterobacterales; Enterobacteriaceae.
UCUGAAUAUGGGGGGACCAUCCUCCAAGGCUAAAUACUCCUGACUGACCGAUAGUGAACCAGUACCGUGAGGGAAAGGCGAAAAGAACCCCGGCGAGGGGAGUGAAAAAGAACCUGAAACCGUGUACGUACAAGCAGUGGGAGCCCCACCACUAAGCCAGUGGUGAACUCCACAUACGCAUCCUUUGCUGAGGAUACGGUUAACGGAGCGAAAGCGACGUUCAACCUCAAAAGAAGCAGAGGGGGCUUAGUGGUGGGGUGACUGCGUACCUUUUGUAUAAUGGGUCAGCGACUUAUAUUCUGUAGCAAGGUUAACCGAAUAGGGGAGCCGGAGGGAAACCGAGUCUUAAUUGGGCGUUAAGUUGCAGGGUAUAGACCCGAAACCCGGUGAUCUAGCCAUGGGUAGGUUGAAGGUUGGGUAACACUAACUGGAGGACCGAACCGACUAAUGUUGAAAAAUUAGCGGAUGACCUGUGGCUGGGGGUGAAAGGCCAAUCAAACCGGGAGAUAGCUGGUUCUCCCCGAAAGCUAUUUAGGUAGCGCCUCGUGAACUCAUCUCCGGGGGUAGAGCACUGUUUCGGCUAGGGGGCCAUCCCGGCUUACCAACCCGAUGCAAACUGCGAAUACCGGAGAAUGUUAUCACGGGAGACACACGGCGGGUGCUAACGUCCGUCGUGAAGAGGGAAACAACCCAGACCGCCAGCUAAGGUCCCAAAGUCAUGGUUAAGUGGGAAACGAUGUGGGAAGGCCCAGACAGCCAGGAUGUUGGCUUAGAAGCAGCCAUCAUUUAAAGAAAGCGUAAUAGCUCACUGGUCGAGUCGGCCUGCGCGGAAGAUGUAACGGGGCUAAACCAUGCACCGAAGCUGCGGCAGCGAACGUAUCACCCAAGACAACUUUGCGGAGUUGACGAUUGACGGAGCGAAGCGACGUCAAAGCGUUCAUUAAAGUCGAGUUGGCUUAGGGAUACGUUCGUUGGGUAGGGGAGCGUUCUGUAAGCCAGUGAAGGUGUGUCGUGAGGCAUGCUGGAGGUAUCAGAAGUGCGAAUGCUGACAUAAGUAACGAUAAAGCGGGUGAAAAGCCCGCUCGCCGGAAGACCAAGGGUUCCUGUCCAACGUUAAUCGGGGCAGGGUGAGUCGACCCCUAAGGCGAGGCCGAAAGGCGUAGUCGAUGGGAAACAGGUUAAUAUUCCUGUACUUGGUGUUACUGCGAAGGGGGGACGGAGAAGGCUAUGUUGGCCGGGCGACGGUUGUCCCGGUUUAAGCGUGUAGGUGUGUGUUCCAGGUAAAUCCGGUUCACUUUAACACUGAGGCGUGAUGACGAGGCACUACGGUGCUGAAGCAACAAAUGCCCUGCUUCCAGGAAAAGCCUCUAAGCAUCAGGUAACAUCAAAUCGUACCCCAAACCGACACAGGUGGUCAGGUAGAGAAUACCAAGGCGCUUGAGAGAACUCGGGUGAAGGAACUAGGCAAAAUGGUGCCGUAACUUCGGGAGAAGGCACGCUGACACGUAGG